AGAGCGACCGGUGCUUGCACUGGUCAAUCUAGUGGCGAACGGGUGAGUAACACGUGGGUAACCUGCCCAUCAGAGGGGGAUAACAUUCGGAAACGGAUGCUAAAACCGCAUAGGUCUUCGAACCGCAUGGUUUGAAGAGGAAAAGAGGCGCAAGCUUCUGCUGAUGGAUGGACCCGCGGUGCAUUAGCUAGUUGGUGAGGUAACGGCUCACCAAGGCCGUGAUGCAUAGCCGACCUGAGAGGGUGAUCGGCCACAUUGGGACUGAGACACGGCCCAAACUCCUACGGGAGGCAGCAGUAGGGAAUCUUCCGCAAUGGACGCAAGUCUGACGGAGCAACGCCGCGUGAGUGAAGAAGGUUUUCGGAUCGUAAAACUCUGUUGUUAGAGAAGAACAAGUGCUAGAGUAACUGUUAGCGCCUUGACGGUAUCUAACCAGAAAGCCACGGCUAACUACGUGCCAGCAGCCGCGGUAAUACGUAGGUGGCAAGCGUUGUCCGGAUUUAUUGGGCGUAAAGCGAGCGCAGGCGGUUCCUUAAGUCUGAUGUGAAAGCCCCCGGCUCAACCGGGGAGGGUCAUUGGAAACUGGGGAACUUGAGUGCAGAAGAGGAGAGUGGAAUUCCAUGUGUAGCGGUGAAAUGCGUAGAUAUAUGGAGGAACACCAGUGGCGAAGGCGACUCUCUGGUCUGUAACUGACGCUGAGGCUCGAAAGCGUGGGUAGCAAACAGGAUUAGAUACCCUGGUAGUCCACGCCGUAAACGAUGAGUGCUAAGUGUUGGAGGGUUUCCGCCCUUCAGUGCUGCAGUUA
This 805-nucleotide ribosomal RNA is filed under the name uncultured Granulicatella sp. Its description in RNAcentral is "bacterial SSU rRNA". It matches the Rfam family "Bacterial small subunit ribosomal RNA", at positions 68 to 854 of the family's 1533-position model. The record is from RNAcentral. Lineage: Bacteria; Bacillati; Bacillota; Bacilli; Lactobacillales; Carnobacteriaceae.